GACGAACGCUGGCGGUGUGCUUAACACAUGCAAGUCGAACGGUAAGGCCCUUUCGGGGGUACACGAGUGGCGAACGGGUGAGUAACACGUGAGUAACCUGCCCUCAUCUCUGGGAUAACAGUCGGAAACGGUUGCUAAUACUGGAUAUGAGCUUGCAAGGCAUCUUGUGGGUUGGAAAGAUUUUUUUUGGUUGGGGAUGGACUCGCGGCCUAUCAGCUUGUUGGUGAGGUAGUGGCUCACCAAGGCUUCGACGGGUAGUCGGCCUGAGAGGGCGACCGGCCACAUUGGGACUGAGAUACGGCCCAAACUCCUACGGGAGGCAGCAGUGGGGAAUAUUGCACAAUGGACGGAAGUCUGAUGCAGCAACGCCGCGUGCGGGAUGACGGCCUUCGGGUUGUAAACCGCUUUCAAUUGUGACGAAGCUUUUUUGUGACGGUAGCAGUAGAAGAAGCACCGGCUAACUACGUG
RNAcentral lists this ribosomal RNA (468 nucleotides) under uncultured bacterium. RNAcentral's name for it is "partial 16S ribosomal RNA". It matches the Rfam family "Bacterial small subunit ribosomal RNA", at positions 28 to 507 of the family's 1533-position model. The record is from RNAcentral.